Molecule: transfer RNA, 85 nt
Filed under: Azospira sp.
Lineage: Bacteria; Pseudomonadati; Pseudomonadota; Betaproteobacteria; Rhodocyclales; Rhodocyclaceae
Also listed under: 1 other name
Description: tRNA-Leu
Rfam family: tRNA
About the family: Transfer RNA (tRNA) molecules are approximately 80 nucleotides in length.
Source: RNAcentral
GCGGCGGUGGCGAAAUUGGUAGACGCAACAGGUUUAGGUCCUGUCGCCCUUGGGUGUGGAGGUUCGAGUCCUCUCCGCCGCACCA